CAGGGAUACUGGAGUGAUGGAGGUAGAUAUGUAGAGGAGACAGGGAUACUGGAGUGAUGGAGGUAGAUAUGUAUAGGGGGAAGGGGACAGGGAUACUGGAGUGAUGGAGGUAGAUAUGUAUAGGGGGAAGGGGACAGGGAUACUGGAGUGAUGGAGGUAGAUAUGUAUAGGGGGAAGGGGACAGGGAUACUGGAGUGAUGGAGGUAGAUAUGUAUAGGGGACAGGGAUACUGUAGUGAUGGAGGUAGAUAUGUAUAGGGGACAGGGAUACUGGAGUGAUGGAGGUAGAUAUGUAUAGGGGGAAGGGGACAGGGAUACUGGAGUGAUGGAGGUAGAUAUGUAUAGGGGACAGGGAUACUGGAGUGAUGGAGGUAGAUGUGUAUAGGAGACAGGGAUACUGGAGUGAUGGAGGUAGAUAUGUAUAGGGGACAGGGAUACUGGAGUGAUGGAGGUAGAUAUGUAUAGGGGGAAGGGGACAGGGAUACUGGAGUGAUGGAGGUAGAUGUGUAUAGGAGACAGGGAUACUGGAGUGAUGGAGGUAGAUAUGUAUAGGAGACAGGGAUACUGGAGUGAUGGAGGUAGAUAUGUAUAGAGGACAGGGAUACUGGAGUGAUGGAGGUAGAUAUGUAUAGAGGACAGGGAUACUGGAGUGAUGGAGGUAGAUGUGUAUAGGGGACAGGGAUACUGGAGUGAUGGAGGUAGAUGUGUAUAGGGGACAGGGAUACUGGAGUGAUGGAGGUAGAUAUGUAUAGGGUACAGGGAUACUGGAGUGAUGGAGGUAGAUAUGUAUAGGGGGAAGGGGACAGGGAUACUGGAGUGAUGGAGGUAGAUAUGUAUAGGGGAGAGGGAUACUGGAGUGAUGGAGGUAGAUAUGUAUAGGAGACAGGGAUACUGGAGUGAUGGAGGUAGAUAUGUAUAGGGGGAAGGGAUACUGGAGUGAUGGAGGUAGAUAUGUAUAGGGGACAGGGAUACUGGAGUGAUGGAGGUAGAUAUGUAUAGGAGACAGGGAUACUGGAGUGAUGGAGGUAGAUAUGUAUAGGGGGAAGGGAUACUGGAGUGAUGGAGGUAGAUAUGUAUAGGGGGAAGGGGACAGGGAUACUGGAGUGAUGGAGGUAGAUGUGUAUAGGGGACAGGGAUACUGGAGUGAUGGAGGUAGAUGUGUAUAGGGGACAGGGAUACUGGAGUGAUGGAGGUAGAUGUGUAUAGGGGGAAGGGGACAGGGAUACUGGAGUGAUGGAGGUAGAUAUGUAUAGGAGACAGGGAUACUGGAGUGAUGGAGGUAGAUAUGUAUAGGGGACAGGGAUACUGGAGUGAUGGAGGUAGAUAUGUAUAGGGGGAAGGGGACAGGG
Molecule: long non-coding RNA, 1348 nt
Filed under: Salmo salar (Atlantic salmon)
Lineage: Eukaryota; Metazoa; Chordata; Actinopteri; Salmoniformes; Salmonidae
Description: lncRNA (ENSSSAG00000097670.1)
Source: RNAcentral